UAGGGAAUCUUCGGCAAUGGACGAAAGUCUGACCGAGCAACGCCGCGUGAGUGAAGAAGGUUUUCGGAUCGUAAAACUCUGUUGUUAGAGAAGAACAAGGACGUUAGUAACUGAACGUCCCCUGACGGUAUCUAACCAGAGAGCCACGGCUAACUACGUGCCAGCAGCCGCGGUAAUACGUAGGUGGCAAGCGUUGUCCUGAUUUAUUGGGCGUAAAGCGAGCGCAGGCGGUUUCUUAAGUCUGAUGUGAAAGCCCCCGGCUCAACCGGGGAGGGUCAUUGGAAACUGGGGGGCUUGAGUGCAGAAGAGGAGAGUGGAAUUCAAUGUGUAGCGGUGAAAUGCGUAGAUAUAUGGAGGAACACCAGUGGCGAAGGCGACUCUCUGGUCUGUAACUGACGCUGAGGCUCGAAAGCGUGGGGAGCAAACAGG
This 429-nucleotide ribosomal RNA is filed under the name Chloroflexota bacterium. RNAcentral describes it as "Chloroflexi bacterium partial 16S ribosomal RNA". It matches the Rfam family "Bacterial small subunit ribosomal RNA", at positions 355 to 776 of the family's 1533-position model. The record is from RNAcentral. Lineage: Bacteria; Bacillati; Chloroflexota.